This 665-nucleotide ribosomal RNA is filed under the name fungal sp. APA-2013. RNAcentral's name for it is "eukaryotic LSU rRNA". The stretch from base 263 to 416 matches the Rfam family "5.8S ribosomal RNA". The record is from RNAcentral. Lineage: Eukaryota; Fungi.
CUUGGGUCAUUUAGAGGAAGUAAAAGUCGUAACAAGGUUUCCGUAGGUGAACCUGCGGAAGGAUCAUUAUCGAGUUUUGAACGGGUUGUCUGCUGGCUCGCAAGGGCAUGUGCACGCCUGUCUCAUCCACUCUCAACUUCUGUGCACUUUUCAUAGGCCGGCUUGUGGGUGCGUUCGCGCACUUGUAGGUGUCGGGCUUAUGCUUUACUACAAACGAUUCAGUUUUAGAAUGUCAUACUUUGCUAUAACGCAAUUUAUAUACAACUUUCAGCAACGGAUCUCUUGGCUCUCGCAUCGAUGAAGAACGCAGCGAAAUGCGAUAAGUAAUGUGAAUUGCAGAAUUCAGUGAAUCAUCGAAUCUUUGAACGCACCUUGCGCUCCUUGGUAUUCCGAGGAGCAUGCCUGUUUGAGUCUCAUGGAAUUCUCAACCUUCGGCUUCAUUGACGAAGGCUUGGACUUGGAGGUCGUGCCGGCUCUCGUAGUCGGCUCCUCUGAAAUGCAUUAGUGCGAACGUUACCAGCCGCUUCAGCGUGAUAAUUAUCUGCGUUGCUGCGGAGGGUAUUCUAGUGUUCACGCUUCUAACCGUCUUCGGACAAAUUUCUGAACUCUGAGCUCAAAUCAGGUAGGACUACCCGCUGAACUUAAGCAUAUCAAUAAGCGGAGGA